RNAcentral lists this transfer RNA (82 nucleotides) under Flavobacteriales bacterium. RNAcentral describes it as "tRNA-Leu". It matches the Rfam family "tRNA". From Rfam's summary of the family: Transfer RNA (tRNA) molecules are approximately 80 nucleotides in length. Their secondary structure includes four short double-helical elements and three loops (D, anti-codon, and T loops). Lineage: Bacteria; Pseudomonadati; Bacteroidota; Flavobacteriia; Flavobacteriales. The record is from RNAcentral.
GCCUGGAUGGCGGAACUGGUAGACGCGCACGACUCAAAAUCGUGUGCCUUCGGGCGUGUGGGUUCGAUUCCCACUCCGGGUA